This 253-nucleotide ribosomal RNA is filed under the name uncultured bacterium. RNAcentral's name for it is "partial 16S ribosomal RNA". It matches the Rfam family "Bacterial small subunit ribosomal RNA", at positions 524 to 776 of the family's 1533-position model. The record is from RNAcentral.
UACAGAGGUCCCAAGCGUUGUUCGGAUUCACUGGGCGUAAAGGGUGCGCAGGCGGUUGGGUGUGUCAGAUGUGAAAUCCCGAGGCUUAACCUCGGAACUGCGUCUGAAACUACUCGACUAGAGUACUGGAGAGGGUAACGGAAUUCACGGUGUAGCAGUGAAAUGCGUAGAUAUCGUGAGGAACACCAGAGGCGAAGGCGGUUACCUGGACAGUUACUGACGCUCAGGCACGAAAGCAUGGGGAGCAAAAGGG